UAUCACAGUACCAAUUCUGAGCUGUCAGAAGGCUGCUCUAUUUUAUUCUUUUUUUUCUCUCUCUGUGUGACACAUUUUAGCUUUCUACAAAAAGGGAAUAAAGGGGAAGCAGCUCCGGCUAGCCUUGGAAAAGCUAUUUAGCUUGCAUAUUGUGGAACUGUCUUCCCUAGCUAGUUACUGCCAUUUUAUAACACUGCAGCAUAUUGGAUCAAAGACUAGAACUGCCACCUCCUGUUUACAAUGGGCUGGAGCAGUCACAGAAUUGUCAGGGCUACUUUCUGUCUCGGUGUGAUUGGAAAUAAGACUGAAAACGGUACCUUAGCAAGAAGAUGUGCGUAUGCCUCUAAAGUUGGGUUUUCAAGAGACAAAAGAAACACAAACAAAAAACAUGGGUACUCACCAUGUUCUUAUAACACCAGCUAAGUGGGCUUUGACGUAUGCUGAGAUCAGAGAGCAAGAUGCAUGCUGCAUCAUGGGACCAAGGAUCUUAUGAGGAUAUUUGGUAUCUAUAAUAUACCAUCUGCAUGUGAUUUAAGUCACUCUCCAAG
RNAcentral lists this long non-coding RNA (548 nucleotides) under Zonotrichia albicollis (white-throated sparrow). Its description in RNAcentral is "lncRNA (ENSZALG00000004816.1)". Lineage: Eukaryota; Metazoa; Chordata; Aves; Passeriformes; Passerellidae. The record is from RNAcentral.